Molecule: ribosomal RNA, 357 nt
Filed under: Chalarus spurius
Lineage: Eukaryota; Metazoa; Arthropoda; Insecta; Diptera; Pipunculidae
Description: bacterial SSU rRNA
Rfam family: Eukaryotic small subunit ribosomal RNA
Source: RNAcentral
CAUGUCUAAGACCCCCGGAUUAAAGUGAACCCGCAAAAGGCUCAAUAUACCAUAAUGUUCCAAUUAGAUCGGUUACAGUUACUUGGAAUAACUGUGGUAAUUUCUAGAGCUAAUACAUGGUGCCUUGUUAAUUAGGCCUAAACCAAGCGGUUUCUUCGGAAAAUCGUAAUAAUGGUUGAACUCUAGAUAACUUGUCGAUCGUAUGGUCUCGUACCGACGACAGAUCUUUCAAAUGUCUGCCCUAUCAACUUUUGAUGGUAGUAUCUAGGACUACCAUGGUUGCUACGGGUAACGGGGAAUCAGGGUUCGAUUCCGGAGAGGGAGCCUGAGAAACGGCUACCACAUCUAAGGAAGGCA